GACGAACGCUGGCGGCGUGCCUAAUACAUGCAAGUAGAACGCUGAAGGAGGAGCUUGCUUCUCCGGAUGAGUUGCGAACGGGUGAGUAACGCGUAGGUAACCUGCCUGGUAGCGGGGGAUAACUAUUGGAAACGAUAGCUAAUACCGCAUAAGAGUAGAUGUUGCAUGACAUUUGCUUAAAAGGUGCAAUUGCAUCACUACCAGAUGGACCUGCGUUGUAUUAGCUAGUUGGUGGGGUAACGGCUUACCAAGGCGACGAUACAUAGCCGACCUGAGAGGGGGAUCGGCCACACUGGGACUGAGACACGGCCCAGACUCCUACGGGAGGCAGCAGUAGGGAAUCUUCGGCAAUGGACGGAAGUCUGACCGAGCAACGCCGCGUGAGUGAAGAAGGUUUUCGGAUCGUAAAGCUCUGUUGUAAGAGAAGAACGAGUGUGAGAGUGGAAAGUUCACACUGUGACGGUAUCUUACCAGAAAGGGACGGCUAACUACGUG
RNAcentral lists this ribosomal RNA (495 nucleotides) under uncultured bacterium. Its description in RNAcentral is "partial 16S ribosomal RNA". It matches the Rfam family "Bacterial small subunit ribosomal RNA", at positions 28 to 507 of the family's 1533-position model. The record is from RNAcentral.